Molecule: ribosomal RNA, 253 nt
Filed under: uncultured bacterium
Lineage: Bacteria
Description: partial 16S ribosomal RNA
Rfam family: Bacterial small subunit ribosomal RNA
Source: RNAcentral
UACGUAGGGUGCGAGCGUUAAUCGGAAUUACUGGGCGUAAAGCGUGCGCAGGCGGUUUUGUAAGCCAGAUGUGAAAGCCCCGGGCUUAACCUGGGAAUGGCAUUUGGGACUGCAAGGCUUGAGUGCGGCAGAGGAGACUGGAAUUCCCGGUGUAGCAGUGAAAUGCGUAGAUAUCGAGAGGAACACCAGUGGCGAAGGCGAGUCUCUGGACGACUCCUGACACUGAGGCACGAAAGCUAGGGGAGCAAACAGG